Molecule: ribosomal RNA, 465 nt
Filed under: uncultured Klebsiella sp.
Lineage: Bacteria; Pseudomonadati; Pseudomonadota; Gammaproteobacteria; Enterobacterales; Enterobacteriaceae
Description: bacterial SSU rRNA
Rfam family: Bacterial small subunit ribosomal RNA
Source: RNAcentral
CCUACGGGUGGCUGCAGUGGGGAAUAUUGCACAAUGGGCGCAAGCCUGAUGCAGCCAUGCCGCGUGUGUGAAGAAGGCCUUCGGGUUGUAAAGCACUUUCAGCGGGGAGGAAGGCGGUGAGGUUAAUAACCUCAUCGAUUGACGUUACCCGCAGAAGAAGCACCGGCUAACUCCGUGCCAGCAGCCGCGGUAAUACGGAGGGUGCAAGCGUUAAUCGGAACUACUGGGCGUAAAGCGCACGCAGGCGGUCUGUCAAGUCGGAUGUGAAAUCCCCGGGCUCAACCUGGGAACUGCAUUCGAAACUGGCAGGCUAGAGUCUUGUAGAGGGGGGUAGAAUUCCAGGUGUAGCGGUGAAAUGCGUAGAGAUCUGGAGGGAUACCGGUGGCGAAGGCGGCCCCCUGGACAAAGACUGACGCUCAGGUGCGAAAGCGUGGGGAGCAAACAGGAUUAGAUACCCGAGUAGUC